GUCCGCGUGAAUGCUCCGGCAUCCACGUGGGGCGUGGGUCCUACGCAGCGGCCUGGAAACCCUAGGAUGCCGUGCCAUAAAGGAGCAGGUAGUGCGUCCCUCUUUAUAGGGGUGUGGCCCUGUAUUCACAGCCGGCAAACGCUGCUACUUCCUAUCAGACCGCAUGAACCCGUAAUGGGGGAUGGACUUAGGGGGGCACGCAUAUAGGUUAGGGUACUCUCCUGAUCCUUCGGGGUUGGGGGGGCGUACCGGACAGUCGGCAACUGUGCAUGGCCCUCCGGGGCCGGCCUUUUGCCCAGCAAUGGACCUGACGAUACUGAAAGCGUGUUUGGGGCUGGUAUCCUGGGACCUUCACGUGGUGGCCCUGUUUAAACUAAUCUUACCAGGAUGUGCUUCCAGAAGGGUUACAUCUAAAAACAAGGUACAAGCUACCACGGAUGAGAAGCUUACUGGAGAGAAGUGGGAAAGUAGCGAUGAGCCAACGACUUCAGGGGAAUCCAAUCGUCCAAUCCAAGUUAUUUUGUUAUUGCAGUUUAACCCCCCCCCCCCCCCCUCCCCACUGGAGAUGAGAGGCUGUAGAGGAAUUUGUUGUGAUGACAAUGAAUCAUUCUAAUCAAAGUAUGGGCUCUGAGAAACACGCAGGAGACAAGAUCUGCCGCAGUCAUUGUUAGCAAGAACUACCAGUUUAAUAAGGUGGUCCACACAGACAGCACGAUAGCCUUGCAGAGGAGAGCGUUUCUCACGAGUGGAUUUACAACUGACUGACCAAUCAACCUUCAUCAGAACUUUUUGAAGUAGUGGUGGGAGGUUGCUGACAGCCAGGUGAUGACCAGCAUCUUUCACCAGUAGUCUCCUGGUCUUCCACUGCAUCUCCAAUUUCUUGCCACCACAGACGGAUGUUUCAGUGAAGUAGUUAUGCUCCAACCUCUCUGCCAUCUGCCAUGCGAUGGGCGCUAGAGCACACCCCGUUGAGGAAGUCGGUAGCUAGGGGUGGAGGAGCAAAGUUCAAGUUAACAAAGCUGAUGUUUAAUGGUAGCUACUAGAGAUCCUGGAUGCUGACUCUGCCUAGGUUUUCACAAUACCUGGACCUAAAAGAUGAGCUGCUUUUGAUGCUGAAAUGCACUGACACGGCACUACUUUGUGACAUCACACAUCAGUCUUUGAUAAGACAGGACCUGAGUAACCUGAGUAAGUCAUCAGGCGCCUGUUAUCAGAACCACAAGAAGAGGAACGCAUGUGUUUCAGGUUUUCCUGCUCUUACCAAGAAGACGUUGCUCUUGAUGCUGGAAUGCCCUGAAACUGCACCACUUUGUGAUGACAUCAAACAUCAGAGAAACUACAUUCAAGGUGCCUUGGGCCUAUUUAGAAUGUACUAGGCUGUUAAAUGAGAAAAAAAGGUUAUAUGGGCAAUUCCAUGCUGGUGAAGACCAAACAAUUAUUCUACGGUUUGUUCAAGUUUGAUUUGCUGAAGUGACACAAUAUAUCUUGGCGUUUUUAAAACUGAAAUAGUUUCGUCCCAUGCGCGCACUAUUUUGUGAGUUAUGGUACACCAUCACAUCAAAGUCUGCAAUGACGUCAUGAUGACUUAUGGAUGCACUGGUAAGGAAUUUUGAAUUGGUCUUUUACUAUCUAUUCAGUAAUAAUUUCUCUCAAUUUUUUUAUGUUACCAUUUUGAAGGCAUCUUUGUGAAAAUGAAUAUUAUUUUUUAGAUGUCAAUAUAAGUCAGAUUUUGCUUGAAAAAUGAGAUACAAAUUUAAUUAUUUAUAAGUCAUAAAAAAUUGAUUUUUUUUUUGUAAAUACCAACAUUUUCUGAGCAAUGAAUUAUUCUGUUCAAAAAUUCUUAGCAGUUUGUUUACAUUUUUGUUUGAUGCUUAGGCCAGCCAUGAAAUAUAGUAAUGUCAGCCACAUGUAAUGUCAUGUAACGUAGUGUCAGUCACAUUAUUGCACAGUCCGUAGUUGAGGAAAAUACAAGUACACAUGUUAUUUAAGUCCAUACACAUACAAGUAGUAAACUCUUUGAACCAAAAUGCAACUGAGUGCCAAGCCACUGUCUGAGCAACUUAUAUAUUGUUCACAAAACAAGUGUUUUAAAAAUUUAAUUUGGACAUCUGUAACCCUUUGAUAAAAUGAAAAAUAUAUUUGUUUUGCUUUCGGGCACAAGUAGUCUAUCAUUGUCCAUUCUGAUGGGGUGGGGUGGGGGAAGUCUUCCCUGUGAGAACUGAAUUAUUGUUUGGCACCAAAUAGUUUGAUUUUCAUAAUUCCCUAUUUAUUACUAAACAUUGGCUAACUUAUUUCAUUUGUUUUGUUGUUGGUACAUUGGAUAACUUUGGUAUUGCUAGAAAAAUAGCAAGUAAAAUUGU
This 2360-nucleotide long non-coding RNA is filed under the name Patiria miniata (bat star). Its description in RNAcentral is "uncharacterized LOC119733282, transcript variant X3". Lineage: Eukaryota; Metazoa; Echinodermata; Asteroidea; Valvatida; Asterinidae. The record is from RNAcentral.